This 253-nucleotide ribosomal RNA is filed under the name uncultured bacterium. RNAcentral's name for it is "partial 16S ribosomal RNA". It matches the Rfam family "Bacterial small subunit ribosomal RNA", at positions 524 to 776 of the family's 1533-position model. The record is from RNAcentral.
UACAGAGGUCUCAAGCGUUGUUCGGAUUCAUUGGGCGUAAAGGGUGCGUAGGCGGCGCGGUAAGUCGGGUGUGAAAUCCCACGGCUCAACCGUGGAAGUGCAUUCGAAACUGCAGAGCUUGAAUAUGGAAGAGGAGAGUAGAAUUCCUGGUGUAGUGGUGAAAUACGUAGAUAUCAGGAGGAAUACCGGUGGCGAAGGCGACUCUCUGGUCCAAUAUUGACGCUGAGAAACGAAAGUGCGGGGAUCAAACAGG